GACGAACGCUGGCGGCGUGCCUAAUACAUGCAAGUCGAGCGCAGGAAACUGACGGAACUCUUCGGAGGGAAGGCAGCGGAAUGAGCGGCGGACGGGUGAGUAACACGUAAGGAACCUGCCUCAAGGAUUGGGAUAACUCCGAGAAAUCGGAGCUAAUACCGGAUAGUUCAUCGGACCGCAUGGUCCGUUGAUGAAAGGCGCUUCGGCGUCACCUUGAGAUGGCCUUGCGGUGCAUUAGCUAGUUGGUGGGGUAACGGCCCACAAAGGCGACGAUGCAUAGCCGACCUGAGAGGGUGAUCGGCCACACUGGGACUGAGACACGGCCCAGACUCCUACGGGAGGCAGCAGUAGGGAAUCUUCCACAAUGGACGAAAGUCUGAUGGAGCAACGCCGCGUGAGUGAUGAAGGUUUUCGGAUCGUAAAACUCUGUUGUAAGGGAAGAACACGUACGAGAGGGAAUGCUCGUACCUUGACGGUACCUUACGAGAAAGCCACGGCUAACUACGUGCCAGCCGCCGCUGUAA
This 524-nucleotide ribosomal RNA is filed under the name uncultured bacterium. Its description in RNAcentral is "partial 16S ribosomal RNA". It matches the Rfam family "Bacterial small subunit ribosomal RNA", at positions 28 to 523 of the family's 1533-position model. The record is from RNAcentral.